CCCACAUCCGCUCCAAACCCCCACCCCCACCACUAAACCAAAAACCAAGUGUUUUCCCCCCUCUUUCACCCCCUCCCUGCACGAAGCUUGUGGAGGUGGGGCCAGCACAGCACAGCAAUGCUACCACUCUCCUACGCGCCACCGCUACCGCCGCCACAGUCGCGACCGAACCCCACCCCUAGCCACAAGCCCAAGCCCCAGCCGUGCGUGCUUCUCUUCCCUGCCGCCCUCCGAACGGCGGCCGCGGCGGCCGCCAUCUCCUUCUCCCUCCUCGCCGGCAACGCCGCGGCUGUGGCGGCGGUGGAGCAGCCCCCGGAGAUAUGCCGCGGCCAGGACGACGGGAGGGAGGUAGAGGUGAAGGCCGAGGCGGUGACGAACGAGCAGCUCGUGGAGGAGGCGUGGGAGGUGGUCAACGAGGGCUUCCUCCCCGACGCCGGCAGCCGCCCGUGGUCACCGGAGCUGUGGAUGCAACGGAAGCAAGAUAUCCUUCAAGGUUCAAUCAAAUCCCGCUCUAGAGCCCACGACAUCAUCACGAAAAUGCUAGCUAGCCUGGGUGAUCCAUAUACAAGAUUCCUGUCGUCCUCAGAUUUCUCGAAGAUGUCGAAGUAUGACAUGACGGGGAUUGGGUUGAACUUAAGAGAGAUUCCUGAUGACAAUGGUUCUUUAAGGUUGGUGGUAUUAGGAUUGAUACUAGAUGGGCCUGCUCACUCUGCUGGUGUUAGACAGGGUGAUGAGCUUUUGUCUGUCAAUGGUAUCGAUGUAAGAGGUAAAUCUGCAUUUGACGUGUCGUCCAUGCUGCAAGGCCCAAAGGAAACUUUUGUUACAAUUAAGGUUAAGCAUGACAGCUGUGGUCCUGUUGAGUCAAUGAAAGUGCAAAGGCAGAUGGCUGCUCGCACUCCAAUUUUCUAUCGUUUGGAGAAAAGAGACAAUGAGAAUUCAUCUGUCGGAUAUAUUCACAUUAAAGAAUUUAAUGCAGUGGCCAAAAAAGAUUUGGUCAGCGGUGUGUUGCUGCACUGAAACGUCUACAAAAUUCAGGUGCCUCCUAUUUUGUUUUGGACCUGAGAGACAAUCUUGGUGGACUAGUGCAAGCUGGAAUAGAGAUUGCAAAGCUCUUCUUGAACAAAGGAGACACGGUCAUUUAUACUACUGGCCGGGAUCGUCAAGUCCAAAAUACAAUUGUUGCUGACAGUGGACCUUUGGUUACAACUCCUGUGAUGGUACUGGUGAAUAAUAGGACAGCAAGUGCCAGCGAAAUAGUCGCUUCAGCACUUCAUGACAAUUGCAAAGCUGUUCUUGUCGGUGAAAGGACUUUUGGCAAGGGCUUAAUCCAAUCAGUAUUUGAACUUCAUGAUGGUUCUGGUAUUGUCGUCACAGUUGGCAAAUAUGUCACGCCAAAUCACAAAGACAUCAAUGGAGAUGGAAUAGAACCAGACUACCGCCGUCUUCCUGAUCUCAAUGAAGCCAGAGAUUACCUUUCGCGUUGCCAAAGCAAGAAAUUAAGUUGAGGUGAAGUGCUUUAUUACAAAGCUUCUUACACAGCAACACAUUAGAAGUAUGGAAUGGAGCGUUAUGCCCAGAAGAAUUGCACAGCGAAGAAUGAACUCUCCCUGGUGAGGUGAGACCACAAGCUCAAGCUCUACAUCGAAGCCUCAAUUCAAUAUAGGCAUCUGCAGAGAUCAGAGUGAGCAUGUCCUUGGAUACCGGUGCUGCAGCUCGGUAGAGAAAGGAAAGAGCACAUUGGCUUCUGCUGAAUAUACCCAGCACCAAUAUGUAAAUAGCUUGUGAUCCGUGUGCAACCAGUGGCAUUCGUCAUAUAAAGAAGUGCAAUAGUAGCUCUAAUCCAAGCAUUUUGCCAAGACACUAUCUUAGAGCAACGCUAGCAGAUCCCCAAAAGGGCAGCCUCCAAAAUCGUUUUGGAGUGCACUUUAAAUUUCACAGGACAUAUUUGAAGUAUAGAGAAACAAAAACUGUAGUUCUGUGGCAGUCUUGCACAGACGCAUCAGGCAUCGCAACAAGACUCAGUUGGGCGGUAGUACUUGGUGCGCGCAAUGGGAAAUCCUCGCUCCCGAUGACGACACAUGGGAGGAUGCACCGAUCAUCAACAAAUACAUUUCCACGUCACAAACUUCUUUGCCUUGAGGACAAGGCGCAACUCAAGAUGACGAUAGUCUAUACUGUCUCAAACUCAUCUGAACAGACACACUGCUACCUGAAGAAACACAAUACUAGCACUGAGUGGAACAAAAUUUUCCAGAGAAUGAAACACAACACUAGCACUCUCCAAAGAAUGGAACACAACACUAGCACUGAGUGGAACAAAAUGCUCCAGAGAAUGACAGACUGAGAUGAGCCAAGGCGACUUAAGUGAAGAUGUGCGGCUUUACAUUCUUUUGCUCACACCUUUUUCCCGGAACAUCAACAUUUACUUCUAC
This 2432-nucleotide ribosomal RNA is filed under the name Triticum aestivum (bread wheat). RNAcentral's name for it is "partial small subunit ribosomal RNA". Lineage: Eukaryota; Viridiplantae; Streptophyta; Magnoliopsida; Poales; Poaceae. The record is from RNAcentral.